RNAcentral lists this ribosomal RNA (254 nucleotides) under uncultured bacterium. RNAcentral describes it as "partial 16S ribosomal RNA". It matches the Rfam family "Bacterial small subunit ribosomal RNA", at positions 524 to 776 of the family's 1533-position model. The record is from RNAcentral.
CACGUAGGGGGCAAGCGUUGUCCGGAUUUAUUGGGCGUAAAGAGCUCGUAGGCGGCUCAGCAAGUCAGGUGUGAAACCUCCAGGCUCAACCUGGAGACGCCACCUGAUACUGCUGCGGCUAGAGUCCGGUAGGGGAGCGUGGAAUUCCUGGUGUAGCGGUGAAAUGCGCAGAUAUCAGGAGGAACACCAGCGGCGAAGGCGGCGCUCUGGGCCGGAACUGACGCUGAGGAGCGAAAGCGUGGGUAGCAAACAGG